RNAcentral lists this ribosomal RNA (500 nucleotides) under uncultured bacterium. Its description in RNAcentral is "partial 16S ribosomal RNA". It matches the Rfam family "Bacterial small subunit ribosomal RNA", at positions 30 to 523 of the family's 1533-position model. The record is from RNAcentral.
AUUGAACGCUGGCGGCAUGCCUUACACAUGCAAGUCGAACGGCAGCACGGGAGCAAUCCUGGUGGCGAGUGGCGAACGGGUGAGUAAUAUAUCGGAACGUGCCCAGUCGUGGGGGAUAACGUAGCGAAAGCUACGCUAAUACCGCAUACGACCUAUGGAUGAAAGCGGGGGAUCGCAGGACCUCGCGCGAUUGGAGCGGCCGAUAUCAGAUUAGGUAGUUGGUGAGGUAAAGGCUCACCAAGCCGACGAUCUGUAGCUGGUCUGAGAGGACGACCAGCAACACUGGGACGGAGACACGGCCCAGACUCCUACGGGAGGCAGCAGUGGGGAAUUUUGGACAAUGGGCGCAAGCCUGAUCCAGCAAUGCCGCGUGCAGGAUGAAGGCCUUCGGGUUGUAAACUGCUUUUGUACGGAACGAAACGGCGAGCUCUAAUACAGUUUGCUAAUGACGGUACCGUAAGAAUAAGCACCGGCUAACUACGUGCCAGCCGCCGCAGUAA